Molecule: long non-coding RNA, 1465 nt
Organism: Panicum virgatum (switchgrass)
Lineage: Eukaryota; Viridiplantae; Streptophyta; Magnoliopsida; Poales; Poaceae
Exons: 4
Source: RefSeq, a predicted model, not a curated record
CCUCCUCACUUCACUCGGCGGCUCCCCCUGGGCGUGCCUCCUUGAAGCGCCACCUCGCCACGCUUCCCUGCUUCGCCCCAGCCGUACAUCCUUGCGCACCUCCUCGCCGCAUCUCUCUCGCGGUCGCACGGCGAGCGGGCGGUCCCCGCACCACGCCGUUCUGCAGCGGAUUCCGUGGCGGUGCGCGUGGCGCUUGAGUGGGCGCCGGCCACGCUACUGCUCCUCCUACUACAGCUCUCCACAUCCCGCUCCAUGCUCCUCCGACCCCUGGCCAUGGGUCUGCCUAGCACCAGAUCCGGCCGCCGCGGACCCACAUCCUGCGGCACGGGCGCACCACGCACGGUCAGGCAGUUUGGUGUGGCAGCCCCCCACGGCGGUGAUGGAGCUUGGAGACCAUGGCCACGGCAGCUGAGGCCGUGCGACACAGGGAGUGGGCGACGAGCGGGAGGGCGUCGCGGCGAGCGAGACUGCCGGAACUGCUCCUGUGACCGCGGCCGCAUCUCCCCUCAUCAUCCGCCCGCGAUGCCUGCAGCGACUGUGUCCAGUUCUCGGCCUCCAUUCAAACUAUGCAUCGUGGAGACGACGACGGCCAGGAAUAGGUCCACGCAUAGCAUCAGCUUCUGAUUAGUGGUGACCUCUUCUCUUUUGGUCCUCUGCUCUUUUGAUACCCGAUUCAGAUUCGGUGUUCACCUGUGUCCAGGUUCUCGGCCUCCAUUCAAGCUCUGCAUCGUUGAGACGGCAACGGCCAGGAAUAGGUCCACGCAUAGCAUCAGCGUCUGGCAUCAGCUUCUGAUUAGUGGUGACCUCUUCUCUUUUGGUCCUCUGCUCUUUUGAUACCCGAUUCAGAUUCGGUGUUCGCCUGUGUCCAGGUUCUCGGCCUCCAUUCAAGCUCUGCAUCGUGGAGACGGCGACAGCCAGGAAUAGGUCCACGCAUAGCAUCAGCGUCUGGCAUCAGCUUCUGAUUACUGGUCAACACCAGAUCCUAUGAGAACCCAAAAGUAGCAAGAUCAACUGAAGCUCCACUAGCUAGCCAUCAAACAAGCUACGGUACGCGCACAGUCAUUCCUCAAUGGCUGACAGGCCACCUAUUUUUCCUCCUGAUCUUGCAAGUUGGUAGCUUUGUUGUUCUACAAGCUUACACUGAUAAGGAUAAGGAUGAAUAUUAUGCACUCUAAGUUGGGCUCCAGAUCAUGUUAAUGGCUCACCGCUGCCGGUAGCAGCAUCAAACAAUAGGAUCAUUCGGUCCAUCAAUUAUUACAUCCUGGAGCUUGUGAAUCUGAAUUUUUUUCCUGUGUUUAUACAUAGAUUGGACCUUGACAGGACAUGAACAAGUACAUUUUGUUUUCUUCAUGUUCACAUUUCGAUCAAUGAAUAAGGAUAGUUGUUUUCUCCAUGUUCACACGUUGGCCAGUAUAUAUGAAAGGCAGGAAGAAAUGAAACCAUUUUACCAUUUGUAAUUGUAAAA